GGUCAGCUUUGGAAAGUCGGAAGAGUGGGGGUGCUUCUCUAGGUCAGACUGGUACUAGUUACAGUAUGGAGUGGAACCAAGCUGGUUUGAUGCAGAGUUUGGACUGAUUCAUUUUCAUGCUAGGUCGAAGAUCUAGCCAUCUCAGAUGGUUCAGGAGAACUGGGUGGGGAGUGGUAGCCAUUUUCCUGCCCUUCUCUUAACAACAAAAAUACAGAAGAGAAACUGAGAGAAUGAAAAGGAGACUCGUGGUGGAGUGAAGGGCAUUUCCAUGUCCAUGAGCGGUGGUACUGUUCAGUGAAUUUACGGCAGCUGGCAAAGUGGAACUUGCUGAAGAAUUGUUUGAAGGUGUUGGACUUGUUCCAUUGGGAUCACAGUAGAUCUGCGCGGGUAGGAGGAGCGCCAGGAGCAGGAGCCCCAGGCCGAGCCGCGCCGCCAGCGCUGUCCCCACGGCCGUCCCCAUGCCCUUCUGCUGCUGUUUCGCUGCGUGCCGCGCCGAUGCUGCCGCUGAUCCAACCGCUGCGACGGCGAACGAGACGGCGGAGCCGCGCCCGGGCUUUUUAUAGGAGCGCGGAAUGCCGUGACGCCCC
RNAcentral lists this long non-coding RNA (587 nucleotides) under Gallus gallus (chicken). The record is from RNAcentral. Lineage: Eukaryota; Metazoa; Chordata; Aves; Galliformes; Phasianidae.